AUGCUCGCUUUGGCAGCACAUAUACUAAAAUUGGAAUAAUGCAAAGAAGAUCAGCAUGGUGCCUGAACAAAGAUGACAGGCAAAUUCAUAAAGUGUUCCAUAUUUUU
RNAcentral lists this small nuclear RNA (107 nucleotides) under Carlito syrichta (Philippine tarsier). The record is from RNAcentral. Lineage: Eukaryota; Metazoa; Chordata; Mammalia; Primates; Tarsiidae.